GGAUUUGCAUGUUCAAUGCAGUGGAAACUUCCCUGAGCAAAUUUUAUCAAGAGAGAAGCACAAAAAUAUGAGAAUGUUCAGUUCGCUAAGAACAAAGUUAGGAAAAACAGAGAAGUUACAGGCUGAGGAAGAUCUCCCUUGGCUCAAAGCUUUGCCAUCUUGGACAAGGGGUGAUGCAGCUCUUGCGUAAUGUGGACUCUCUAUCCUAAGGUACAGUGGUCACUCAUCAGCAACUUCAGCCCACCUUCCUGCCUCCUUGUUUGCUGGGAAUUACCAGCUACUCCAGCAUUCUGGUGGGCCUCUUUUCCUGGUGGAGAUGUCUAAGAGAGAGGUCAGUGGUACAAACUAUAAUCCUCACAACUGAAGACUCAGGCCUGCGAGUGGAGGAAGAUCUAAGAAGAACUUACCUUUGGAUGAACUAUUUUCAACUAUGGCCUCUUAGGAGACUGUGGUCUCCGCCUGCUCUAAUCCCAGUAAGGGGAACACCUGUCCCCCAGGUGUUGCUAACUGCUCAUUGUCUUUUCCACAGGACCAGGCUGCAGCCAGGGCCCAGGUAAGAACACAUUUUUUUUUUCUUUUAGCUUCUUAACUUACCCAUCCUGCCUCCCUCAGUCUCUUUGUACUAACAGUACCCCCUCAUUCCAU
This 645-nucleotide long non-coding RNA is filed under the name Felis catus (domestic cat). RNAcentral describes it as "lncRNA (ENSFCAG00000042205.2)". Lineage: Eukaryota; Metazoa; Chordata; Mammalia; Carnivora; Felidae. The record is from RNAcentral.